CUAUUAGGUUGGCGCAAAAGUAAUAGCGGUUUUUGCCAUUAAAAGUAAUGGCGAAAAUUGCAAUUACUUUUGAACCAACCUAAAUACUGUGUGUCCUUGAGCAAGUACUUAAGCUCUCUGUGCC
Molecule: microRNA precursor, 124 nt
Filed under: Chlorocebus sabaeus (green monkey)
Lineage: Eukaryota; Metazoa; Chordata; Mammalia; Primates; Cercopithecidae
Description: miRNA (ENSCSAG00000024480.1)
Source: RNAcentral